CCCAUGUCCCACUCCAGGAACAAAGGGCUCAUUUCCCUGCCACUGGGGUUGCUGGGCCGUCAGCUGUCCCUGCCCUCCCCAGGUGGAGGGAGAGCCACCCCACCCGAGGGCACGCCCCUUCCUCAGGGGGACCACGUCAACCACUGAGGGAUACAAGGGCUGGGGUCACAUCUUCAGGGCGCCUCUCAGAGUUGGCGAGGCCUUUGUGGGGACAGCCUGGCUGCUGAACGCCUCCCUCUGGCCACUCUUGCGUCAUCCCUUCCGUCCACAGGUGUGUGUCCCCAAAACCGCUCCUGAUAAACUUUCCGUGGCAGAUCUCCAUCACAACUGGCUUCCUGGGGAACCCCCUGUGACAUAAGCCAAACAGGAAACCAAGAAAGAGCCGCUGUGUUAAAAACUUGUCUCUUGUCCGGUGUCUCCAUGCACAGUUCCAGGAGAGCUGGUUCCAGAACGUGUUUUAAUCCUAGGGACAGGGAGCUUCCUACCACCCCCUAAACAGGCAUCCAAAUCUGUCUGGCCGGCCACGUGCAAGCCCACGCACUCAGUCAGCGUGAGAGAAGAAAACAGUCCAGGACAAGGCAGAGCCCUCUUCCUGGGCCACGAGAGACAGAAGACCACAGAAAGAAGGCAGCCCGUCCACCGCACACCUCUAAGUGGGCUGGAUCCUGCCUGAUGACACAUGUGGCCCGUUGGUGGGUUUUCCAUCUGACUGGGACAGUAGCCCCUGACUUGGAGCUGAACCCGAGCCACACAAGUUAAGUUCCAGCCUCGACUUCAGAGACUACUGUUAAGUGGAUAGUCAUUUUAGUCCUAGGAGUCUCGGUUUUCUCGUCUAUAAAAUGUCACCAAUGGCCCCAUCCUGCCUAUCUCCUGGGGUUGGGGUGAGGAUGCCCCAGAGAACGUGUUGGGAAAGCUUUGUAAGCCCUGAGGAGGUGCACAAAAGCGGAAGCCUACCGUUACGGUGAUGUUGAACUGUUUCCCACAGCUCGUCUGGCCUCCCUUUCCAGAUGUCACCUCCAGGGAGGGCUGGAGUCAGGCGCUGCUCACUUGGGUUUCCCUCCAGCCAGCAGAGCCAGCCGGGACACAGGUGGUGGCCAAAGCUGGCUGGAUGAAGGAAGGAAGGACGGAAGGAUCCAAGCACCCUUGCCUUUUUCCCCAGGCCCAGAGGCACACAGACAGCUAUGAGGGCCACCGUGACGUGGAGUCCAGCCCAGCCGUGAGGAGACCUCACCUGCCGUCCCUCUCUGUAAUCCUUCACGCCUUGCAGAUUGGUUUCUGUGCUGUCUGUGGUUAGGCUGAGACUCAGGAAGGGAAAAGGAAAAGGGGACCACGGUCACUGAGCCCAGGCACUCUGAGGACUUCACCUCACCGAUGGCUCCCAGCGCCCAGGGCCACCACUCCUCAAUGUCCAGCCUGGACACUGCACCGGGACGCCCAGCUGAGACUGUGGGGGCUCAAGUCCAGCCUGCAGUCCACUCGCCAAGCCCCGCGCCCAGGAGGGCACUUUCUUCUCAUUCAUACGAAGGCGUGACGCUGCUCAGGCCAGGGAAACACGCCUCUGUGUCUCUUGCCCAGUGUCCUUGAAACGAAAGGAAUGUGAAUGUGUGCAGGCUCGGGGGUUACACCCCUGCUGAUGUCCGACACAGACCCUGCUUCCAAGUGUGAAGAGGAUUUGAGCAGAGGAAGCUCUUAACUGAGAGAAAACGCAAAUUAUUGAACUUGUUAAAUCCUGUCAGUGUGAAUGCAAUAUGUAUUUUCCAUAACAUUUUUAGUAACAAA
This 1779-nucleotide long non-coding RNA is filed under the name Equus caballus (horse). Its description in RNAcentral is "lncRNA (ENSECAG00000056844.1)". The record is from RNAcentral. Lineage: Eukaryota; Metazoa; Chordata; Mammalia; Perissodactyla; Equidae.